AACGCUAGCGGCAGGCUUAACACAUGCAAGUCGAGGGGUAACAUUGUGCUUGCACAGAUGACGACCGGCGCACGGGUGCGUAACGCGUAUAGAACCUACCUUUUACAGAGGAAUAGCCUUUAGAAAUGAAGAUUAAUGCCUCAUGGUAUUGUAGACUGGCAUCAGUUUAUAAUUAAAGAUUUAUCGGUAAAAGAUGGCUAUGCGUCCUAUUAGUUAGUUGGUAAGGUAACGGCUUACCAAGACAGCGAUAGGUAGGGGUCCUGAGAGGGAGAUCCCCCACACUGGUACUGAGACACGGACCAGACUCCUACGGGAGGCAGCAGUGAGGAAUAUUGGACAAUGGAGGAGACUCUGAUCCAGCCAUGCCGCGUGUAGGAAGAAUGCCCUAUGGGUUGUAAACUACUUUUAUACAGGAAGAAACACUGGUAUGUAUACCAGCUUGACGGUACUGUAAGAAUAAGGACCGGCUAACUCCGUGCC
This 480-nucleotide ribosomal RNA is filed under the name uncultured Polaribacter sp. RNAcentral's name for it is "bacterial SSU rRNA". It matches the Rfam family "Bacterial small subunit ribosomal RNA", at positions 32 to 509 of the family's 1533-position model. The record is from RNAcentral. Lineage: Bacteria; Pseudomonadati; Bacteroidota; Flavobacteriia; Flavobacteriales; Flavobacteriaceae.